This is a long non-coding RNA of Hermetia illucens (black soldier fly), 921 nucleotides long. RefSeq lists it as uncharacterized. The transcript is spliced from 3 exons. The record is from RefSeq and is a predicted model, not a curated record. NCBI's taxonomy places the organism in Eukaryota, Metazoa, Arthropoda, Insecta, Diptera, Stratiomyidae.
UUAAAGUAGGGGUUAUUUAGUCCUUAUUUGCUUUAUAGAAUAUUUACCUACGGUUAUGUAAACGUAUGUAAAGAAGCGCUUUCAUAGUGAAACUGAGAAUCCACAAACUCUUUAAGCUCCUGAGUUGUCACUUUAACUAGUAAUACAUAAGUCGAAUACCGAAAGACCCUUUUUCCGAAAAUGGUAUAAACUCUGCGAUUAAAUGAUUGAGGGGAAGGUCAAGCCUUUUUACACUAUUCAAAAAUGUGGACGCCCUGUAUAAGCACGAAGAUUUUAGUACACGGAGAAAAUACCCGACACUCGGUAGGAUUUAAAUUUAGGUAUCACUGAUCGUUAGCAGGAAGCGCAUGCAUAGAGCCAGCGAGGAUUGUGCGCAACUUCCUUCAUGGGCAAUAAUAUUUUUCUUCCAACGUCUCGACUACGCUGAUAAUAUCUGUUUGUUCACUCACCGGGGCAUAGGCCCUGGCUCAAUGACUCUGGUAUUGCAGAAGGGCAAAGUUGAGUUUGAUAUCAACAUCUAAUUGUGUUUUUUCCGCACUAGUAUUCUCUCUGUAUUGUUGCAGGGAGCAGCAAAUAGAAACUAACGUCCACUGUUACUCAAAAGCUCCAAGUCAUCAUUAAAACCUGGCUCCUUCGUGCAUUAGUGUAAUCUGGCCUGAGAAAAUCUGGAAUGACGACCUUAGUCAGCGUAUGAGCCUGUUAGUGGAAGUGGAUAGGAUGUCUACUUUCUAUAACAAAUUGAUGAAUAGAAUCGAUUUAUCGAAUCGAGAUUUAGGCUCAAACUUUGAAUUUAAAGUAAUAUAAAUCAAUUUACUUCGCUGCGUUUAUAUGCUAUCCUUUUACUUUUCGACGUAAAGCAACUGAAAUCAGCCAGAUAAUGCGUAAGGAUAAUAAGAAAGCAUGUGCCUUUUUUUAAUAGUU